Molecule: long non-coding RNA, 726 nt
Organism: Macrosteles quadrilineatus (aster leafhopper)
Lineage: Eukaryota; Metazoa; Arthropoda; Insecta; Hemiptera; Cicadellidae
Exons: 2
Source: RefSeq, a predicted model, not a curated record
CUGUCAUAUCACACAGGAUUGUUUUUGUUGUUAGUAAAAUUGAAUCUGUGUAAAUCGUUUUAUGUUGUUGUCCUUCAUAUUAUUUUGGUUCAACGUUACACUGUUUAGUCUCCUGUUAUGUAGCUAAGCGGUUUGCCGUCGUCAGAUGAGGUCCCAGAUGUGAGGCUUCACCUGCCGCUGUCCUCGGAGAGGUUCGCCUGGAGGGGCACUACAUCUUCUACCUCCUUGGGCUGCCAACGGCCCAGCAUCUCCGGGGACCACUAUGCCUCCAUCUUCCAGUAUGGACCACUAAGCCACCCACCGCCUGCCACCGUCAAGGAAUCUUGUGCCACUUUUCCGCAAGUUAUACUGUAGAAUAUCUAAAUUAUGAACAUUUUUAAAGGACUGUUUUUUAAGGGGCCCCAAAAUGAUUGAUUAUCCAUUCUAGUAUUUCAUAGGAACUGUUAUUUAUUUGAUUGUUAUUUAUUUUUAUAGUAUCCAAAUUUUUAUUUAUUGCUUGUUAAUUUAUUUAAAGUUUAAUAUAACCGUACCAUCCUAUUUAAUUAUUGUUAGGCCUAACAUCCACAGUUACCACUAAAUUUGUAAGUUCAGGAGGGUAAAGUUUUGAGAAAGCUUAAGGUAUUUAAAUAUUUUUGAUAAAAUAAUUCUUUGGAUGGCUGCUUUGUUGUUUAUUGUUGAUUGUUUUUAUUGUUGAAUUUUGAGAUUAAUUAUAGGCUUUGUUGACAA